This 425-nucleotide ribosomal RNA is filed under the name uncultured bacterium. RNAcentral describes it as "bacterial SSU rRNA". It matches the Rfam family "Bacterial small subunit ribosomal RNA", at positions 356 to 773 of the family's 1533-position model. The record is from RNAcentral.
AGGGAAUCUUCCACAAUGGACGCAAGUCUGAUGGAGCAACGCCGCGUGAGCGAAGAAGGUCUUCGGAUCGUAAAACUCUGUUGUUAGAGAAGAACACGGGUGAGAGUAACUGUUCACCUGUUGACGGUAUCUAACCAGCAAGUCACGGCUAACUACGUGCCAGCAGCCGCGGUAAUACGUAGGUGGCAAGCGUUAUCCGGAUUUAUUGGGCGUAAAGGGAACGCAGGCGGUUCUUUAAGUCUGAUGUGAAAGCCUUCGGCUUAACCGAAGAUGUGCAUUGGAAACUGGGGAACUUGAGUGCAGAAGAGGAGAGUGGAGCUCCAUGUGUAGCGGUGAAAUGCGUAGAUAUAUGGAAGAACACCAGUGGCGAAAGCGGCUCUCUGGUCUGUAACUGACGCUGAGGUGCGAAAGCGUGGGUAGCGAAC